CUUCAGGGCCUGCUUGGAGCCCUGGACAGUGCUGGAUGCAGAGCACAGAGUUCAAGAGAUGAUCUGGAAGACAGAUAUGUGACUGUGGCUUAGUGGGAUGAGCUUAUGUCAAAAAAAAUAAAGUAUUGAGCAGCCUGCCCUCAAAUAUCUCCUUGCUGAAUUUGCACUGUAAAUAUUGUACUUGGGGAAAAAAAGAGGACUCAAGAAGGAAGAAAAGAACUUUCAGCUGCCUUACCACAGUGUAAACUGAAUACAACGGAGGGAAAAAAGAAAAGCACGGAUGGUGAUGUUAGUUUGUUAAAUAAUGUGUGUCAGAAUACACCUUUUCCUGAAAGCUCAGUGAAGGACACCCUUGUAACAGCCUCUUCUUUCAUGGCUGUGGGGACCACGAGCCUGCUGAGCUGUGUGCUUGGGAAAGGGCAAGUACCCAACAUCCCUGUGCCUUCUUCAAUGAGAACAAAAAUUGUAUUUAAUUUCUACCACUAAAAAUCCAUUUUCCAGGGAGCUCCACGGCACCUGGGCACUUUCGGUAUGAUCUAUGGUGGGAACACAGAAAGCAGAUGCAAUGGCUUUUGUUACACUGAAAGAUUUGCAUAGCAUAGAAGGUUAGAGCUUCUGUGUUUCCUGGAGCCUUUUUCCUUGCCCUUGAAAAGACAAUUUGGAUUCCAAAUAUCCGUAACAAUUUGACCCGCUGGUUUAUGGACAAACAGGGGCCUAGAAUUUAACCUCUGGAAAACCAAAGUUAACAAUUCAGGGAUUUCUGUGGCCAGAGCAAUUGUAUCUGCUUUGUUCAAGUUUGUGUUUUGCAACUUUCCAUAGAGGCACUGUCAGCUCUUUCCAAAAUGAAGGUAAUUUGCAAAUAACACCUUAGAAGACCACUUUUCUACUAUAUUUUUAGACAGAGAAAUUAAGAGAGAGAUUAGUGAUUGUGAAUAUUUGCAUUAAUGUAGCAGGAAAGACCCUAGUAACGAGGCAGAAUCCCAGGGUGGUAGUUUUUUACAUGGAUGGCUUUUCAGCCGAGUAGUUGAACCUGACAGUGGUGUUAGCAGAGAGCAAACGGUGAAGGCAUACAGAGAUAAAUUUGCUUGCUUGACCCAAUGGUCAAUUAUAAUUGAUGCAAAGCUACAAAAGACUUAAAGAUGGAUUUGAUUGAGGUAUAUUUGCAAACACAUGUCCUCCCCUCCUGGAAACAGUCCUGAGAUGAUACUUAUAAAUCAGCAAAUGGGGAGGUGGCAGCAUUGCCAGUCACACGAAGGGGAUGAACUCAUUGCUGAGGCUUCAAAUGGAUAAAUGCAACUUCUUUCAACCUGUAACUGUUCUCUGCAAUUUCACAUUAGAGGCUAGGCUGUUUAUUAAAAUAAAAAAAUACCUGUAAUGCUAACUGGGUCAAAUCAUGAUAAAGGCAAAACUUUGCAGCCUGUACAACUUGGGGUCCUUUCACUUAAAUUCACAAACUGCAUGUUCUCUUCCUCUCUUUUUUUCCCCCACUUACUGUACCAUUUAUCUAACAAUUAAGAUUUUUAAGAAUGCAACCCUAAAAAUUUAUUUACACAAAACUCUUCUCGGUACCACUGGAAACAUUAACAUCUAUACGUUUUGUUAAAAUGAGUAGAGAAAAAUAGCUAACCUGUUAUUUUUGAUGUACCCCGUAAGUUUGGCUUUUAAAAUAAAUUGCCAUUUCAAAACAUGUAAAUACCUCAGCUAAAAAAAGUUCUGGGAAUCAGUCAUCUGCUAUCAUUUUUAGCUUUGCCUGACUUUGAGUUUCAUGUUGUUUGGGGGGGAAAAAAACAGGAGUUCCUCCCCUCCCCUCACAGUGUUGCACUGUACAAUUUAUAGCAACUCCAGAUGGAAAAGAC
Gymnogyps californianus (California condor) is the source of this 1856-nucleotide long non-coding RNA. RefSeq lists it as uncharacterized. NCBI's taxonomy places the organism in Eukaryota, Metazoa, Chordata, Aves, Accipitriformes, Cathartidae. The transcript is spliced from 3 exons. The record is from RefSeq and is a predicted model, not a curated record.